CACAUCAAACAAUGAUCAAUGUUAAGGCCUCAGUGAUCAAAUAAGCAGUGACAAUGUUUAUAUAUAUAUAUAUAUAAACAUUGUCACUGCUUAUUUGAUCUUAAUAAAGGCCUUAACAUUGAUCAUUGUUUGAUGUG
Non-coding RNA from Pelobates cultripes (western spadefoot toad), 137 nucleotides. Lineage: Eukaryota; Metazoa; Chordata; Amphibia; Anura; Pelobatidae. The record is from the annotation of a GenBank genome assembly.